AUUGAACGCUGGCGGCAUGCCUUACACAUGCAAGUCGAACGGCAGCACGGGAGCAAUCCUGGUGGCGAGUGGCGAACGGGUGAGUAAUGUAUCGGAACGUGCCCAGUCGUGGGGGAUAACGCAGCGAAAGCUGUGCUAAUACCGCAUACGAUCUAAGGAUGAAAGCGGGGGAUCGCAAGACCUCGCGCGAUUGGAGUGGCCGAUAUCAGAUUAGCUAGUUGGUGGGGUAAAGGCUCACCAAGGCGACGAUCUGUAGCUGGUCUGAGAGGACGACCAGCCACACUGGAACUGAGACACGGUCCAGACUCCUACGGGAGGCAGCAGUGGGGAAUUUUGGACAAUGGGCGCAAGCCUGAUCCAGCAAUGCCGCGUGCAGGAUGAAGGCCUUCGGGUUGUAAACUGCUUUUGUACGGAGCGAAAAGGUUCUCUCUAAUACAGGGGGCUCAUGACGGUACCGUAAGAAUAAGCACCGGCUAACUACGUGCCAGCAGCCGCAGUAA
Molecule: ribosomal RNA, 500 nt
Filed under: uncultured bacterium
Lineage: Bacteria
Description: partial 16S ribosomal RNA
Rfam family: Bacterial small subunit ribosomal RNA
Source: RNAcentral